GCCGUUCAUGGGCUGCGGGCGGUAGAUGUGCGGGGCCUGUUGGGCCCCGCUGGGCGGUGCCGCCGGAUGGCCGCCGGUCGGGUGGCG
This 87-nucleotide transfer RNA is filed under the name Mycobacterium paraseoulense. Its description in RNAcentral is "tRNA-Asn". Lineage: Bacteria; Bacillati; Actinomycetota; Actinomycetes; Mycobacteriales; Mycobacteriaceae. The record is from RNAcentral.